UCAAGCUACAAAGGGCGCAUGGUGAAUGCCUUGGCACCAGGAGCCUACGAAGGACGCGAUAAGCUGCGAUAAGCUUCGGGUAGACGCAAAUAGUCUGUGAACCGAAGAUUUCCGAAUGGGGAAACCCACAAUGCUUGCAUUGUACUAUAAACUGAAUUCAUAGGUUUAUAGAGGUAAACCCGGGGAACUGAAACAUCUAAGUACCCGGAGGAAGAGAAAGAAACAUCGAUUUUCUUAGUAGCGGCGAGCGAAAGGGAAAGAGCCCAAACCAGGAACUUGUUCCUGGGGUAAGGGUAGACAUAACGGAAGGAAAUAAGUUAACUGAAGUGAGCUGGAAGGCUCCGCCAAAGAAGGUAAAAGCCCUGUAAGUGAAAAUUAAAGCUUCCAGUCUAUUCCAGAGUACCACGAGACACGUGAAACCUUGUGGGAAUGCGGGAGGACCACCUCCUAAGGCUAAAUACUACCUGGUGACCGAUAGUGAAGAAGUACCGUGAGGGAAAGGUGAAAAGAACCCCGGAAGGGGAGUGAAAUAGAACCUGAAACCGUGUGUCCACAACCGAUCGAAGCACUUUUACGUGCGACGAUGUGCUUUUUGUAGAACGAGCCAACGAGUUACGGUAUGCAGCAAGGUUAAGUACUUAAGGUACGGAGCCGAAGGGAAACCGAGUCUGAAUAGGGCGACUAGUUGCAUGCUGUAGACCCGAAACCGAGUGACCUAUCCAUGGCCAGGUUGAAGCGGAAGUAAAAUUCCGUGGAGGACCGAACCACGUUGGUGUUGAAAAACCAUGGGAUGAGCUGUGGAUAGCGGAGAAAUUCCAAUCGAACUCGGAGAUAGCUGGUUCUCCUCGAAAUAGCUUUAGGGCUAGCGUUGAGUAUGAGUAGUGGAGGUAGAGCACUGAAUGGGCUAGGGGCUGACAACAGUUACUGAACCCUAUCAAACUCCGAAUGCCAUAUACUUGAAUCUCAGCAGUCAGACUACGAAUGAUAAGAUCCGUGGUCAAAAGGGAAACAGCCCAGAUCAUCAGCUAAGGUCCCAAAGUGUAAGUUAAGUGGAAAAGGAUGUGGGAUUUCUAAGACAACUAGGAUGUUGGCUCAGAAGCAGCCACUCAUUUAAAGAGUGCGUAAUAGCUCACUAGUCGAGAGGUCCUGCGCCGAAGAUGUCCGGGGCUAAAACUUACCACCGAAGCUAUGGACUCGAAAGAGUGGUAGAGGAGCUUCCUGCAUGGGUUGAAGUCGCACCGUAAGGAGCGGUGGACUGUGCAGGAGUGAGAAUGUUGGCAUAAGUAGCGAGAAAUAAGUGAGAAUCUUAUUGGUCGAAAACCUAAGGUUUCCUGAGGAAGGUUCGUCCGCUCAGGGUUAGUCGGGACCUAAGCCCAGGCCGAAAGGCGUAGGCGAUGGACAAUCGGUUGAUAUUCCGAUACCGCAAAUUUGCGUUUGACAAAUGGGAUGACGCAGGAGGAUAGGAUGUGCACACUAUUGGAUGUGUGUCUAAGCACUUAGGCAGGCUGGAUUGGAAAAUCCGUUCAGUCAAUGCUGAGGUGUUACAGGGAUCCCUUUCGGGAGAAGUAUCUGAUUCCACGCUGCCAAGAAAAGUCUCUAUGGAGUAAGUUUGUGCCCGUACCGCAAACCGACACAGGUAGGUGAGGAGAGAAUCCUAAGACCAUCGGAAGAAUUGUUGUUAAGGAACUAGGCAAAUUAACUCCGUAACUUAGGGAUAAGGAGUGCCCCGAAAGGGGCCGCAGAGAAUAGGCUCAAGCAACUGUUUAUCAAAAACACAGGUCUCUGCUAAAGCGAAAGCUGAAGUAUAGGGGCUGACGCCUGCCCGGUGCUGGAAGGUUAAGGGGAAUACUUAGCGCAAGCGAAGGUAUGAACUUAAGCCCCAGUAAACGGCGGCCGUAACUAUAACGGUCCUAAGGUAGCGAAAUUCCUUGUCGGGUAAGUUCCGACCCGCACGAAUGGCGUAAUGAUUUGAGCACUGUCUCGACAACAAAUCCGGCGAAAUUGUAGUGCAAGUGAAGAUGCUUGCUACCCGCGAUUGGACGGAAAGACCCCGUAGAGCUUUACUGCAGUUUAGCAUUGAGUUUCGGUAUUGUCUGUACAGGAUAGGUGGGAGACUUGGAUAUUAGGGCGCCAGCCCUUUUGGAGUCGCCCUUGGGAUACCACCCUGACAGUACUGGAAUUCUAACCGGCGGCCAUGAAACUGGUCACGGGACAUUGUUAGGCAGGCAGUUUGACUGGGGCGGUCGCCUCCUAAAAUGUAACGGAGGCGCCC
Molecule: ribosomal RNA, 2272 nt
Filed under: Clostridium tyrobutyricum
Lineage: Bacteria; Bacillati; Bacillota; Clostridia; Eubacteriales; Clostridiaceae
Description: bacterial LSU rRNA
Rfam family: Bacterial large subunit ribosomal RNA
Source: RNAcentral